GUAGUCCACGCCCUAAACGAUGUCGACUAGGUGUUGGGGAAGGAGACUUCCUUAGUACCGCAGCUAACGCGUGAAGUCGACCGCCUGGGGAGUACGGUCGCAAGAUUAAAACUCAAAGGAAUUGACGGGGACCCGCACAAGCGGUGGAUGAUGUGGAUUAAUUCGAUGCAACGCGAAAAACCUUACCUACCCUUGACAUGUACGGAAGCCCGAUGAGAGUUGGGUGUGCCCGAAAGGGAGCCGUAACACAGGUGCUGCAUGGCUGUCGUCAGCUCGUGUCGUGAGAUGUUGGGUUAAGUCCCGCAACGAGCGCAACCCUUGUCAUUAGUUGCUACAUUCAGUUGGGCACUCUAAUGAGACUGCCGGUGACAAACCGGA
RNAcentral lists this ribosomal RNA (378 nucleotides) under uncultured bacterium. Its description in RNAcentral is "bacterial SSU rRNA". It matches the Rfam family "Bacterial small subunit ribosomal RNA", at positions 790 to 1167 of the family's 1533-position model. The record is from RNAcentral.